RNAcentral lists this long non-coding RNA (478 nucleotides) under Pan troglodytes (chimpanzee). RNAcentral's name for it is "long non-coding RNA NONPTRT004099". The record is from RNAcentral. Lineage: Eukaryota; Metazoa; Chordata; Mammalia; Primates; Hominidae.
GAAUGCAGUGGUGUGAUCACAGCUCACUGUAGCCUUGACUUCCCAGGCUAAAGUUAUAAUCCUACCUCAGCCUCCAAAGUAGCCGGUAUCACAGGAUUCACUUGAAGAAGCCCACAGGGACGGGUGACACUGAGGAAACAAAACCCAGGCCCCCCGGCCUCCGACUGAGCCGUGCAGAGCAUGCUGGGAGAUCACCUCCACCUGAGGAGCACAAAAGACCCCAGGAGUGGAGGAAGCUGGCCUGAGGCCAACCGGAUGUAACAGACUUGCUGGGCCCAAGGAGGGAGGUCUGGUGAUGGAGCCUCGAGUACAUAUCCUUCCAAUCCUAAGAAAAAACACAACAGGAAACUUAAAUGAAUGGCUCAAUGAAAUUGCAAACGUUUGCCCAGAUCAAGACCUAAGAUGUUAUUAGCUCCUUAGAAGUCUCGCUCCUGCCCUCUCUAAAUUGUUAUCCUUCAUCCAUACCUUUCCCCAAAAG